RNAcentral lists this ribosomal RNA (200 nucleotides) under Bacillus toyonensis. RNAcentral describes it as "partial 16S ribosomal RNA". The stretch from base 1 to 164 matches the Rfam family "Bacterial small subunit ribosomal RNA", at positions 376 to 535 of the family's 1533-position model. Lineage: Bacteria; Bacillati; Bacillota; Bacilli; Caryophanales; Bacillaceae. The record is from RNAcentral.
UGAGAAGUCUGACGGAGCACGCCGCGUGAGUGUGAAGGCUUUCGGGUCGUAAAACUCUGUUGUUAGGGAAGAACAAGUGCUAGUUGAAUAAGCUGGCACCUUGACGGUACCUAACCAGAAAGCCACGGCUAACUACGUGCCACAGCCGCGGAUUCGUAGGUGGCUCCAUAAUCUGUAUAUCGUUUUAAAACGCGUAUAUU